GAUGAACGCUGGCGGCGUGCCUAAUACAUGCAAGUCGAGCGAACAGACGAGGAGCUUGCUCCUCUGACGUUAGUGGCGGACGGGUGAGUAACACGUGGAUAACCUACCUAUAAGACUGGGAUAACCUCGGGAAACCGGAGCUAAUACCGGAUAAUAUAUUGAACCGCAUGGUUCAAUAGUGAAAGACGGCUUUGCUGUCACUUAUAGAUGGAUCCGCGCCGCAUUAGCUAGUUGGUAAGGUAACGGCUUACCAAGGCGACGAUGCGUAGCCGACCUGAGAGGGUGAUCGGCCGCACGAGAAGGGGGACACGGUCCAGGCUCCUACGGGAGGCAGCAGUAGGGAAUCUUCCGCAAUGGGCGAAAGCCUGACGGAGCAACGCCACGUGAGUGAUGAAGGUCUUCGGAUCGUAAAACUCUGUUAUUAGGGGAGAACAGAUGUGUAAGUAACUAUGCACGUCUUGACGGUACCUAAUCAAGAAGCCACGGCUAACUACGUG
RNAcentral lists this ribosomal RNA (497 nucleotides) under uncultured bacterium. RNAcentral describes it as "partial 16S ribosomal RNA". It matches the Rfam family "Bacterial small subunit ribosomal RNA", at positions 28 to 507 of the family's 1533-position model. The record is from RNAcentral.